AACGAACGCUGGCGGCAUGCCUAACACAUGCAAGUCGAACGAGACCUUCGGGUCUAGUGGCGCACGGGUGCGUAACGCGUGGGAACCUGCCCUUAGGUUCGGAAUAACUCCCCGAAAGGGGUGCUAAUACCGGAUAAUGUCUUCGGACCAAAGAUUUAUCGCCUUUGGAUGGGCCCGCGUUGGAUUAGCUAGUUGGUAGGGUAAAAGCCUACCAAGGCGACGAUCCAUAGCUGGUCUGAGAGGAUGAUCAGCCACACUGGGACUGAGACACGGCCCAGACUCCUACGGGAUGCAGCAGUGGGUAAUAUUGGACAGUGGGCGAAAGCCUGAUCCAGCAAUGCCGCGUGAGUGAUGAAGGCCUUAGAGUUGUAAAGCUCUUUUACCCGGGAUGAUAAUGACAGUACCGGGAGAAUAAGCUCCGGCUAACUCCGUG
Molecule: ribosomal RNA, 433 nt
Filed under: uncultured bacterium
Lineage: Bacteria
Description: partial 16S ribosomal RNA
Rfam family: Bacterial small subunit ribosomal RNA
Source: RNAcentral